CAUAGGGGGGGAUCGGGAACGGAUCAUUCAGAUCAUCCUCAACCACACAAGUUCACCAAGCACAAGAACACCUCUCCUCAGGAGGCUGUUCUUCCCGUGUAACUGUUCAUCCUCAGCCCAAGAGGCAAUCCACCACACCACACUGGAGUAGGGUAUUGCACCACAUCGGUGGCCCGAACCAGUAUAAACUCAUGUCUCUCGUUCUUUGGGUUCAUCGAGCUAGGCCUUGUGAUUGUUGCGAGAGCGAUUUAGGGAGAGACAGAUCUUUGUGCGCACCCCAGUGUUCGAACCUCAAGGGUUUUGCCGGAACCUGAAAUCCGACAAUAACUGCAACUGCAACUUCUUUGUAUCUUGAUACUUCUUCUGCAACAUUGAUAGGAGCAUCAGAAACAAAAUCUACUGGCAGUACUUCAGUAUUGUGCUGCAGAAGUGGUUCUGGCACUGGAAUUUCUCUUUGAGGCUGAGGAGGAGAUUCAGCACCCAAAUUGUCACUCUCAGCAGCAAGCAAAGGAUCUUCAGGAACUGCGAAAUCCUCCAGUGGCAGCUGUUCAAUGGGCUGAUUAAGAUCAAAAGCAGCAUGUGCAACAGGUAAGACUGGUUGAAUUUCAGGCAGAACCAGGGGCGCCAAAAGCUCAUCUGGCUCUGGCAUGCCUAGUGCUCCAAUAGCAGACUCAGCAGAGCUAACAUUUGCACUUGGCAAUCCCAAGGAUUAAGUGAGACCACUGUACUCAUCUUCUGGCUGCUCAACAUGCAUUUCAAGAGGUCCCAUCAAAUCAUUUAAUUCUAGAAAUUCUCUAGCUUGAAUUUCCACAUCCACCAGCUGUUGUUGCUGUGGCAUUGCCCAGUGACCCCAGCCUUCAUCUUCCUCAUCCUGUGCUGGAGCUUCCUCAAUAACUGGCAAAUUAUGUUGCUCAGGUUGCAAUAGGUGAAAAGCAACAGGCCCAACCAUAAGAUUGUUCUGAUUGGGGUGAUGGAAUUGCUCUGGUGGCCUUGGAUGAGGGUUGCCAUCUUCGGGAACUGUAUCUUCAUCAGGAGGUGGCACUCCAAUAGGGUUGUCAUCCACAAUCACAACAGGGCAGGUCCAGGACUGACCACUAAAAUUCUUGGCACCAGAAACAACCAGACUAGCCGGGACAUCCUUGAGGGCAUCAACCUUCACUUUCAGGGCAACAACUGCAUCACUAGAUUUGAAUCUAUCCCAGAACAUAAGCUGCCUGAAACUUGCAGUAGCAUUAGACAGUUCAUGAAAACUUCUCAAGUCAACAGGGAAACCGAACACCAUGAGCCACACAUCUCCAAUCAAAUUAAAGUUCUUCCAGUUCAGACCCUCGUUGUGCCUUUGAAAGACGAUGUGAAUGUCAUCAUAGGCAUGCGGCCCUCUAUUAACUAGAAAAUCCCUAUCGGCCGCACCGCGAACAAUCACAUAAGCUUGCCCAAAAGGAGACUUCGUCACAUCAGAGACACCAAUGCGCUUGGACUGCAGAAACUCUAGGAGGAUCUCACGGACAUUGAUAAAACUUACUUCUCCUUGGGGCAUGGGGAUGAUUGUUGCAAUGGCAAGGUCUUCAUUGGCUGGCACAAGAUUGCCAUGGAGCACACGGUGGCACGCAGGCCGCCCUUCCACAUCAAUCGCAUGGAAACCUUCCGGGAGGAAUGAUGCAGGGUCGAAGGGGAACGAAGCCAUUGCCGGCAACCGGAGAGCAGCCGCUUCAGUCGGAACCCUCGAUGAGAGAGCUGGUUGUUGCAGAGGAGAAGGAGAGUGGUGGGAAUGCGAGUCGGUAGCGGCGGUAAUGGCUUGAUUUGACUGAAUAGGGGAAAUGAUGCCCUCUCUAACAGAUGGGCUUAAAUGUGGCGAUUGACGGAAGUCCCGGUCACUAGCCAAAAGUGGGUUCUACAGAAGGGGAGGUUGAAUGCGAGGCAUCGGAUCGGAAAUCGCGCCUCCAAACCUGUAGUUAUUCUUGCAACCGGGACGAAGAUGACCCACACCAAGACAGCGAAUACAGAAUAGGCUGUUGGGCUCCCUAGCAGUCUCGGCCAGCCCAGAGGUUUGAAUUCCCGUGGAUCCCGCCCUCCCGAGAGCCACAUUAUUGGGCGCAGUUAAGACCGGGUUUAACGAUGCCGUUGAUUUGAGUUAGGCGUUCAGAAACUGACAGGGGACGAGUAGCAGCGGAUCUGACCGGUGAUCUAGCCGGAGAUCGAGCAGUGGAGUUGUGGCCGCGAAAGAACCUUGGAGUUUGAACAGCCUCGGCAUAAGAUCUACGAUCACCAGAACGGUUUACCACAGUAUAUUCUUGAUCAAGUUCUUGCUGAUAUAGCCGGAACUCUUUGUGGAAAUCAGGUCCACCAUUGCCCCAAAGGAAAAAACCCAGACUAAAAAGAUCAUUGACGCAAUUCCCCCCUUUGAUGAUAGCAAAACCCACACUCUUGGAUGAAACACUGAACUUGAAGGACCAAUUUUGAAGGCAUGAAACUUUGAAACGAGAAGCAUGACCCCCAAAGCAAGAUUGAAGCAUGAGACUGACCGAAUCAACAUUGAUACGAAGUUUAGAUCGGGUCACCUCUGCCACCAGGAAGAAUUCCUUGAGCUCACCACCUUCAAAAUGAUUGAUUGGCACACCAAAUUGCUUCCAAAUGAAGGCUUCGAAGGCCAAGCCUUGCUCGAACUUGAGAUUAGAGAGAGCCAUCUCGGAGAGGCAGAUCGAACUUGCUCGAGCGGUGGCUGCCGGUGGCCGGAGUGACGGCCGGCAGGUAAUGUGGCCGCCACGGCCAGAGUGGCCAGCGGUGCAGGAGGGGCUAGGCGCAGGUACGUUUUUCGAAAUGAAAUUUAUUCUCUAAAUGAUGAUAAACAAUAGUUGAAAACAUGUACAAAGAAGAAGCACAAAUAACAAAAAGUUCCUUCCAGGCCAUAAUCCAUGCAUGUUAUAUGUCCCCCAUGUCUUUGCCAAUGACCAUGAGUGUCAUGCACUUCAGUUGGUUAAGAUACUAUGAUCUUUCACGUUAAAUCUUCAAAGGUGACAAUUCCAUGUUAAUUACUUUGUAUCUUGAUACGAUGACUUGUAAAAGUAACCAACAAGGUAUUUUUUUCCACACGAGGUAGACAAGUGCGUUCAUCCUGGACUACUAUCGACCAAUUUGAUGGGGCACUCCUUUGCUCUGAUGAGUUAGAUCUCCAGUUAAUUCUUUCUUCCGAAUAUAUUCCUUUUUAUGUGUCUGAUACAGAUGAUGAUGUCCGUGGCUCCAUCGCUGGCGGUGGUCACAAUGCGCAGCCGUAGGAAUGGACAAUAGACAAGCCAACAUGUACUCAGGUGCAUCCUACAACAACACAAUCAAUACUUCUUCCCUAUUUGUCCAAUAUGUUAUUUAUUCCUUUGAUUUAUGUUCAUCCAAGACUAGACAAACAUUUUGAUUUCAUCUUUGUGCAAUUACACAAACCAAACAAGGAAAAGAUGUUUCCAGUUUUUUUAAUAACAUAUUUAUCUUGGUGAUGCCAAAAACCCUUUUAUAGUUGCUAUCAUUUAGUUUUCCCCUGCAUCUCUAUUUUGAAAGUGCAUGGAUAGUGAGAGCUCAAUCUAUAAUUCCUGAUACUAUUGCAAGCUGGUAGAUUGGAGCAAUUUUAGAUGACUCACAGGUUUCUGUUACUCACUUAUUAUCUCUACUCCUAGUUAGGUACAUCAUUCGUUCGUACCCCCUCCCAUCGAUCGAUCACACCUCCCCCAAUGUUUUACACUGUCAAAUGAAGACGUCACCAGGCCCUCGCACCCACUGUCGGCCUCCUCCCCCCACGCACUGCUCUGGCGCCAGCCUCUCCUGCGUACCUCCUUACCCCCGCCGGACGACCACGACACGUGCCCCACCGCCGCCAAGUGCCUCGGUGACGAUGAUGCCCAUUGGUAAGUUCAACCACGGCGGCGCCUUCCAACUCACUGUCCAUGCGCUGGACCUCCUUGCGGCCUACACUCUCGUUCCUCUUCGGCAACUUGUCCAAGUCCGAGCUCGCGGGCAUCACCGAGAAUACCAAGUUCGGCUAUGGCGUCGUCGUCAUCUCCAUAGUCGACGCACCCCUCAGGUUUGGGGUCUCCGCCAGGGGCACGCAGGACUAUAGGAAGGCCGACACCAAUGCUCUGGUGGUGCUCCACCAGUCUAACACUGGUGAGUACCUUUGCAAGGAGGAGGAGCUCAUGUGAGGUCAGAUUCAUCGUUAAGACAAGCCCAAUUUAAGUGAGGGUGAGUACCGAUCUGGGUUGGGCACAAUCUCCUCGAGGGCGGCACCAAGGUUCACUACCUAAAGAAGACCGAUGUAGUAAUUGACAUCGUAGAUAACUGGGUGAAGGUGUUCAAUGAAGGAGAUUCAGAGUCAUCAGUGUAGUAUGGAAACGAUGCACAUGCUGUCAUGGUAGUAGUUGAGGUGGUGUAUAUAUCAAGUGAUCUAUUCUAUAGGCAUUUUCUUUAGGUGUGAUGUUUGAUUUUAAGCAAAUCACGCUUGUUGUAUAAGUUUCUGCCCAUAAUGAUUUGCAGCGAACCUGGAGUGCGGCUUGAUCCAAUGGCUCGAUUGGAGCACUCAAUUGUGAUGAAGCUGUAAACUAGACUUGGUCAGCAGAAAAAAAAUUAGACGUUGCCACCAACAUUAAACAUAACUUGUCAUCUCUCACCAUCAGAUGUAGAUUGAGUCUCUUAAGAAAGUUAAUGAUGUUUACUGAA
Molecule: long non-coding RNA, 4698 nt
Organism: Triticum aestivum (bread wheat)
Lineage: Eukaryota; Viridiplantae; Streptophyta; Magnoliopsida; Poales; Poaceae
Exons: 2
Source: RefSeq, a predicted model, not a curated record